This 284-nucleotide small RNA is filed under the name Carlito syrichta (Philippine tarsier). Its description in RNAcentral is "7SK RNA (ENSTSYG00000023947.2)". It matches the Rfam family "7SK RNA". From Rfam's summary of the family: 7SK was discovered as an abundant small nuclear RNA in the mid-70s but a possible function has only recently been suggested. Two independent studies have found that 7SK RNA binds the CDK9/cyclin T complex (known as elongation factor P-TEFb). P-TEFb activates transcription by phosphorylating the C-terminal domain of RNA polymerase II. The record is from Rfam by way of RNAcentral. Lineage: Eukaryota; Metazoa; Chordata; Mammalia; Primates; Tarsiidae.
GAAUGAGAGGGCCAUCUGGUCAGAGCAUCUGUUACUAAACUGGUUGCCAGGAUUGUUUCCACUGAUCUGACUGGCUAAGUGGGCAUUCCUUUCCUCCUUAUGCCAGUUCCUCCCAAAGCCUAUGGGUGCGAUGGAGUCUUCAUUUUCUUUGAGCAAGGAUAUCUGAAAGCUGACAUGUGCUUGCUGGAACUUCAGAACAAGUUCUCUUCUCAUGAGGGGUCACCUCAGCAAUGGCAUUUCCACCUACCUCUUUAAAGUAUUGUGAAAAUCAAAUGUAAUAAUAG